UGGCCGCAAGUGCACUUAUAAAGUCG
Molecule: non-coding RNA, 26 nt
Filed under: Mus musculus (house mouse)
Lineage: Eukaryota; Metazoa; Chordata; Mammalia; Rodentia; Muridae
Source: RNAcentral